AAAAACUCUUGGUGCAAAUCCAAGCAGGAACU
RNAcentral lists this transfer RNA (32 nucleotides) under Chrosomus erythrogaster (southern redbelly dace). RNAcentral describes it as "partial tRNA-Leu". Lineage: Eukaryota; Metazoa; Chordata; Actinopteri; Cypriniformes; Leuciscidae. The record is from RNAcentral.